Oncorhynchus tshawytscha (Chinook salmon) is the source of this 2098-nucleotide long non-coding RNA. NCBI's taxonomy places the organism in Eukaryota, Metazoa, Chordata, Actinopteri, Salmoniformes, Salmonidae. The record is from Ensembl.
CUUCCAGAGAUACAAAACAAUGUGAAUGUACUGGAGCUUCCAGAGAUACAAAACAAUGUGAAUGUACUGGAGCUUCCAGAGAUACAAAACAAUGUGAUUGUAGCUGAGAAUUGUCUGAUGAGGAGUGCUUUGAUGAAGAAAAAAACACUUCCAGGGAGUGGGGAAUUGUUUUAAUCAGGGCCAAAGGCACAACACAGUUUAAUGCAGCUCUGUCAAGAGAUCUGUAAAGUUACAUCUGGUAAUGGUUGGCAGGUCGGUGUUGCAAUUCCUUGAGGUGAUUAUUUACAGGACUGUCUGUUUGAAACUAGAAGAUGCUGCUUAAAAACUUGGCUGAAUCCACUGGGGAAAUGUAAUGUCCAGUUCACAAAAUCCUACCACAGAAGAACGUGUAGCAUCACAGUAUUGGUAUUUUGAUAAUCAACGAUGAUCAAACAGUAUACAGUUUCCAUUAUACCAUUCAAGUAAUAACCCCCAAGUUUCAUCCUGAUUUUUGGAAAUAUGGCUGUUGAUUUAUUUAAUGUUCAACAAUGUAGCACUCCACUUCCUUUAGUCUCCUCUCUUCCUAAAUGUUUCUACUCUUCCUUCCCUUUCUCUCGUUGUUCUGUCACACCUCAAGUCCCAGCAUCAUGGAGGGCAGUCCAGUCCAAUGUGUCACUAAACUAGGACCCUUUUUCAGCUUUAAUAGUUUGCUUCUUGGUUAUAAUUGUGUGUGUGCAGUACAGCAUUGAUCUAUCUCGGCUUUAACUAUCAAGCAUUAAUGAUUUAAGUGAUUGUGAUGCAAAGUCAGCUGAUCGAGUGGCCAAUAUAUCCUGCUGCUACUCCAUGGAUAUACAUACAGUAUGGCAAAACAAACUGAACCAUCCUUUCUGCUGUAGAAUCAAGAUGGCGUCAGAUCUGGUUCCACUUUCCCUUCUUCUGUCUCGUCAGUAUCCACUGGUAUGUAAAGGUAACCAAUGACAUCUCUCGCUGUGCCACUAAAGAGUUUGGAAUUUGAGUAUGAAGAGGAAUAAUGCUAUUUGAAGAUGUCAGUGAGUCUAUGCUAUCAGUUGUCAAGUAUCGUUGGGAGACGAGUGAGUUAAAGAAAUGAGACUGAGAGAAUCUGGUUUUAAACAUUCGGCUCUAGUCACUGUUGGCACUAUUGAAGCUUUUUCCAUUGGGGUACAUUAUGUGGAAGCCUCCUAACUUUUAACACUUUUAAGAAUCAAUGUGUGAAAAGGGGCUAGGGUAUAUGGAAAUAUAUUAUCUGGAAGUAUUUAGGGAUGUAGAGGAACUAGUAAUAAAAUAAAAACAUGCAGGCUGGCCAAAGAAAGAAGGUGUUUUUUCCAUGAUUCAUUUUGGGGUUUGUGUGUUUUUAUUUUGGUAUUAAAGCUUGAAUUGAAUCCUUUUGUGUAUGUGUGUGUGACUGAGACAGUGUUUGUUAACCUAUGUGGUGAGCUGUGGACGACCCCCAUGGUGGUCAGUCAGUCUGUGAUUUGAUUUUCACAAAGGCUCUAGUUCCUUGGUCACACACUGGAAAUCCUCAGCAUUGCCUAGCAACAGUUCAACACAGGAAACCAAUCCAGACUCAGAAUGGCUCAUCGGUUGGUUCGUUGCACAGAUAGGGAGUAAAGGAGGACGUAACGUACAAGGAGACAUUUCCACAGUCAAUGGAAGUGCAGAUUCUGCUUCUACCUCAAGGGUUAAUCGGAAUUUGUUUCCUUAUAAUUGCAAGUUCCAAACUCAUACAGGGGCUCAGGUCUUGGAUAUAGAAACAAUUCAUGGAUCAUAUCAGUUAACAUGCAGGCAGUCAUUGUGUAGUGCAGCGAGUGUGUGGUACAUUGGUGCAGUCCUACUCCUAGCAUGUGCUGUUAUAGUUUGAUUGUACAAAUCUUAUUUUAGAAUAUGUUUAAAGACAUUAAAGAAUGUCGCAGGGAAAUGUUUGAUUCAAACGAUGAAAGACAAAUAUGUUGUUGUUGAUGUGAAUAUUUAUUUGAUAGUUAUUAUAGCUAUUAUUAUUUUUGUAGCUUUUUUGGUUGAGAUGUAUAUUUGUUUGAAUUCUGUUUUGGACAUUGGACUUUCUGCCUUUAUUUUGCUCUGUUAAUAAAGCUUGUGACUGGUA